AAAGUUCCUAACGUGGGGCUGUUUUCAAAUUCAAAAUCCGUGGCCGCUCGCUAGCACCUCGCUAGGCGAGCCUGGGGCGAGUAUUCGCCUGGCCUUCGCUAGGCGAGGCAGAGGCGAACGAGACAGUAGCUGACUUUUCUAUUCUUUUUUUUUUUAUGUUUUAUCAUAGCCAUGCAUUAUUCAUCCUAUCCUAUUUAUUGUUGUGAUAUUUCUCCGGUGUAAUCUUCGAUUGCACCCUGAUUUGGUGUUCUGACAUUUUUUUUUUUUUUUUGAGUUUCGUAAAGGUUCACAUAUCCCAGGAAAAGGUUAUUGGCUAGGUAUUCCACUUUAUUUGUGGGAUACCCUUGUGGAGUUUCACCCUAAAUUAAUUUUUAAUGUAUUAAUUUCUAAUGUAUUAAUUU
Molecule: long non-coding RNA, 401 nt
Filed under: Lathyrus oleraceus (garden pea)
Lineage: Eukaryota; Viridiplantae; Streptophyta; Magnoliopsida; Fabales; Fabaceae
Description: Pisum sativum (pea) long non-coding RNA (PSAT_LNC028287)
Source: RNAcentral